RNAcentral lists this ribosomal RNA (492 nucleotides) under uncultured bacterium. Its description in RNAcentral is "partial 16S ribosomal RNA". It matches the Rfam family "Bacterial small subunit ribosomal RNA", at positions 29 to 507 of the family's 1533-position model. The record is from RNAcentral.
AGUGAACGCUGGCGGUAGGCCUAACACAUGCAAGUCGAACGGCAGCACAGUAAGAGCUUGCUCUUACGGGUGGCGAGUGGCGGACGGGUGAGGAAUACAUCGGAAUCUACUUUUUCGUGGGGGAUAACGGAGGGAAACUUACGCUAAUACCUCAUACGACCUACGGGUGAAAGCAGGGGAUCUUCGGACCUCGCGCGCAAGAAUGAGCCGAUGUCGGAUUAGCUAGUUGGCGGGGUAAAGGCCCACCAAGGCGACGAUCCGUAGCUGGUCUGAGAGGAUGAUCAGCAACACUGGAACGGAGCCACGGUCCAGACUCCUACGGCAGGCACCAGUGGGGAAUAUUGGACAAUGGGCGCAAGCCUGAUCCAGCCAUACCGCGUGGGUGAAGAAGGCCUUCGGGUUGUAAAGCCCUUUUGUUGGGAAAGAAAAGCAGCAGGUUAAUACCCCGCUGUUCUGACGGUACCCAAAGAAUAAGCACCGGCUAACUUCGUG